This 199-nucleotide unclassified non-coding RNA is filed under the name uncultured Herpotrichiellaceae. Its description in RNAcentral is "sequence contains ITS1". Lineage: Eukaryota; Fungi; Ascomycota; Eurotiomycetes; Chaetothyriales; Herpotrichiellaceae. The record is from RNAcentral.
CUGAGUUUAGGGUCUCUUUUAGAGCCCGAACCUCCAACCCUUUGUUAAAAACACUUUGUUGCUUUGGCAGGCCCGUCUUAUCCUUUAACGGGGAGACGACCGCCGGGGGCGUUUAGUCACCUCUGGUCAGUGCUUGCCGAUAGCCUAUUAAAAAUUCUUUAUUAAAUAAUGUCUGAAAAAUUAUAAUUAAAUAUAAUUA